This is a long non-coding RNA of Hemicordylus capensis (graceful crag lizard), 7464 nucleotides long. RefSeq lists it as uncharacterized. The transcript is spliced from 3 exons. The record is from RefSeq and is a predicted model, not a curated record. Lineage: Eukaryota; Metazoa; Chordata; Lepidosauria; Squamata; Cordylidae.
UGGUUCCCAGUCUCUCGCCCAUCCUUGCAAAAUAACCCAGGACUCGAAGAGUUCGCCAGCGCCUUCCCGGAUUAGGAAGCCCUGCUACUCCCAGUUCCUUCUUGGAGAACUCAGAAGCCCACCAGUCUCACUGCAAUGGAAACUUAGGAAACACUGCAGAGCUCCACUCUCAGAGAGAACCCAGGAGUCCCGAGGGCCAGCUUUAAUUACAGGAGGCUGGAGGAGAUUCCUUCCCAUCCACGAACCCUCCGUCCGGUAGCCAGCCAACGCAGCCUCCCUCCGUGUGUUCAUCCACAGGCUCACUCUCCCUCCCGGCUUCAUUCCCCUGGAGGCUCCACCCGUCUUUGGGGUGGCGCUUCAAAAAUCCAGUCCUGCCAGAAAAACCCAAGCAAGAGACUUCCCCCCGCCUCCCUUCCCACAUCUAAGGCUGGGCUGGUCUCUCUUCCUUUCCUUUCCGUCUCCUUUGCUCGGAGAGGAUCCAAAGAUCCGACGGAAAGUCCCGUUUGCUGCAGCGCGUAUGGGUUUUAUUUGACUUUAAAAGGGGGGGAAAAAGAAAAGACGCCGGGGAUAUUGCAAUUACAUAAAAGAAGUCAGCGCCUUUAAAAUCAAAUUGACUAUUCCUUUUGCAACAUAAAACUGAGAUCGGAGGGAAGGAGAAAGAAGAAAUCCGCAGGGUGGGGGAAAGUUGCUCCGAAGCCAUCCUCAGUUCCUCUGUUCGCUCCUGAUUUUGGGUUCAUGCCUUCCAAAAGAGAUCAUUAGAGGAGAAAAAAUGGAGGAGGCUAUUCUGGAGUGAAAGAUCCUAUCUUUGACGGGGGAUGAUAUGAUGUCAGAUCUUGGAACCCUUGGAAGAAUAAGAAGCUGAGAUUUUGCUUGGGGGAGGCACAGAUACAUGCAGGGAAGAAAUGGCGAGUGAAACUCCAUGCCUGUUUUGGGAACUGGACUUGCAGCUCUUAAAAUCACCAAUUUGUUAAGGAAAAGCCGUGCAACGUGGCAGGCAGUUGAACUUACUUACUGUACAUAUAAGUAACCAAAUACCCACCAUAUGUAUUUCCCUGGACAGAGAAAACUGAUUCCCCGCAGCCAGGGCCUAUAGCAGUCCCAAGCCUGGAUGAGUCCCGACCUAUGGAACAGCUGCAGUCUUGGUCUCCUUGGGAACUGAGCCAGCAACCUCAGGAUCAACCACAAAUCAAGCUAACGCCAGCAAAACUCAAACAUAACAAGCUAGGGCUUUUUUCUUUCUUUCCCCAAAGGGAAGUUGGUCUCAGAAAACUUUAGACCUCAAGGUAUUUUUAUUGGGUAAUGAGACUGAAUUGUUGAUCUGGUCUAUAAGUACCCGCUUCUGCUUUUUAUUUUUUUCCUUUGGCUGGAGGUCUUCACUGGAGAGAGUCAGAAUUCCCUACUCUCUGCACCAUGUUCUUAAGCAGAGCCAAGUCAUGGCUCCCUGGACUGCCUUGGCAGCAAGGAAAGGCAAAGGACUUGAAAGUGCAGGUGGAAGUAUCAAAGGGAGAGCUUGAGGAACCGGAGAAAUGCCAGACACCUCCCAAAGCGAGAUGGUGGAGUGGCCGCCGGCUCUUGGAAGCCAUUGGAUGGGGCCAAAGUUUCUCUGCAAGAGAGCACUCCUUAUUGGCUGGGAUCCCUCAACAUCUUGCCCCCCACAAGCCAUCCAUGGAAUCAUCUGAACACUUCCAGAUCUGCUUCAAUUUCACUCGCCACCUCUUUGACUUGUGUGUGGUGACUUUGCUCUGUGCAUCCUCCCCUGCUUUUCGGCUAGCUUUGGAUAUCCUAGGAUUUGGAGGUCCCCUUAAGGUCUGGCUGCAUGGCUUUGCCUGUUUCCUGGUCACCGCCUAUGGGAUGUACUUGGCCCUCUGGUUGGUGCAGGAGUAUCUUGUGCAGUUUGCUUGCCUCUAUGGCUUCCUACAGACCCUAGUCUUGUGCGUCAGCAUCCAGGCUGGAAUGACGGAGCCUCAAGAGGAUGAGCAGGGCCCUGACCCUGAUGCAGCCAAGGAGGAAGACUCGCCAGCAGCUGACCUGUGUGAACAACAGUCGCCACUGUGAAGAGGAAUACUGUGUUGGUCCACCUCCUCCAACUAUUUGGGAAGAAGGGGGUGGGGGUGGGGUGGAAGCCAAAAAGAUCAAACAAGCUGAUCCUCACUGGGGGCAGGAAGAUGGAGUUUUUGUCAUGUAUUUUGGGCAGCUGGGCAGACCAAAGAGAGAGAGGGGUGGUUUUGCUGUGGUUGUAUCUUGGAAAAAAUGAGUGAGUGGUAAUGGUUCAGGGAGUCUUUCCUGGUUCCAAGUCCAAUUUGUGAAUGGCUAUGAGAGAAGGAGCAAUUGGGUGUGGGGAGGAAAAUCCACCCUUAACUAUGACAGUCUUGGGCUCUGGGGAGCAGAAGUUCGGGUGGGUAAGUGUGGGGAGUAAGAGGACUGAGUCCAUCCACACUACAAACUUAAAUCGGUACAAACUUAAUCAUAACUGGUUUCCUUGUUAUCGCUGCUCCCUCAGGACCCUGGGAGCCGUAGUUUUGUGUGUUGAAUGGGAAGGCAUGCUUAGAAUUUUGUUAGGGGUUCUUAGCUCCUCCUUGGGUUUCUGGAUGGAUCACAGUUUGAAAGUGGUUUACAUUUGUAGUGUGGACAUGCCCAUAUAGGGCAUGUUUGGCGGUCAGUUUUGAAGGAAAGUGGAUGUGCAACCAGCACAUUCCCAGUCCCUGCAAUCCACACACGCAUAUGAAUUCACCCAACCCUGGGCCCUUCUAUACUUUAGAGGGGUGCCUGUAGGCCCAGUGUGAGCCUUUUAGUUGAUAGUCAUGCUUUAGGCCUACAGAAGAAGCACUGCUUCCUGCCAUUUCUGGGGUUGUAUGUGAGGGCAGGUUGCUGCCAUCUGGGCAUGGCCUUUGGGGUUGGAUGGAAUAAAAAUGGACCUGUUAGGAGUCUGAGGUAGCUAACAGAUCACGCUUCAGGUGGGCAAGAUGCAAUGUAUUAGGUGAGGGGGAUGAAUCCACUUCUGGCAUGGAAAGAUGGAGUGGAGGAAAUUUUCCCUAAAUGGGACCAAAGAGUGGAUUUAUUUUUAUCUGAGCCACAAAAAACUGUUGGAGGGUGAUUUGAGAACUGAGAUCGGAUCCAGUAGAUGGAAGCCAAUAUUGUCUUUUGCAGAAAAGCAGCAUAUAUGUGUUGCAGAAAUCUACUGUAUCCAAAUGAGGGGAUUUAGAGACAAUGGGAUAAAUUUGGGGUGGGGGUGAGAUCUGACUGACAUAAAAUCUAGUUAGGUCUGAAGUAAGGUUGGCUAGAAGGAUAGAAGAUUUCAGGGGAUCAUAAUCUGAGGGAGGUGAAUCCCAAAGGAAACAUGAAUCUAGCACAACUUUGAGGAACACUGACAUAACUACUGACCUUCACCACUCCCUUUUAGGGGUGGGCUGGCUUUCCACAACUGAAUAGUGGAUGGGGGUGUCUAGAAAGCCAAUUAUCUUCUGCAUAGACCUCAGGGAUGAGCAGUUCUGAGCCUAGAAUUUCUGCUAGAUCCCAUCUGCUCCUCUCUCACCAGCAUCUUCUAUAACAUUCUCCAGCUGGGACUGGCUCCUCAUCCAGUUUUACAGCUCCCCCUACUCCCACCCCCGCUGGCAGUAUAAAGAUUAACCCACUGGAUUGGGCACAUGGCUUGGUGUGGGAGGUGAGCUACCCUAAAUUUUUACUGUGUGCAGUUGACACAAGAGGUAAGCAUUUCCCUUCUCAGGCCAGUGGUGUGAACUAAGGGCAGAUCCAAUGAACAUUUUGCCACACAUCUGCACCUGAUGUAUGGUAAAAUCCAAGUUAUGCCAGGUUGAGAGUGCGCAGCUUAGCUGUCACUGCAAUGCAAAGAUGCUGUUUGCAAUCAUGGUCUGAAUUUUCAAGGCCUUUUUUGUUGUUGAGAAGGAGAAACUUUGGCCAUGUCCCGCCAUAGCUGGAACCAGAAACUUCCGGAGGAGAUAUAGGGCAGGUUCACAUGAUCCUCUGCAAGUAAGUAGAAGGGAACUUGAUGUUCCCAGGGAGCCGGUGCUCCUGACGUGAGCUGCAAGUCCAGCUCAUUUUGUGAUAUCUGAACCUGCCAUGUCAGAUGGAGAAUGUUGGGCUCCCACUACCACCUGACAUUCCCAAGCUAACUUCAAAUGUCAGUUUUGGAUGUCAAGCAGCGGGGGGAACCCAACUUUCUUCACCCAACACUUCCAGGUUCAGAUGUCAUGGAAAUGGCUGGAUGGAUCCACUCGUGUUGGGAGUGCUCCCUUCCUGAGAACUUCUGCCAUUACUUGCAGCAAGUUGUGUGAACUCGGCCCACAGUGUAAUUUAAAAAAACAAAAAACUGCUGUGUUUCUUUUCUCUUUGAGUUAGGGACCUCAUUCUGGGAAGUCUUGUGAAUUCCUGACUGAGAACGUCUUUUCUGUGCUGGUCAGCAUUUUUUGUACAUGAGCUCCUUUCUGAUCAUACAUUUGGGGUCCCCCCCCGAGCAAUUGUCACCCUUCUGGUGUGUAUGCACAUGCGCACACACCAUAAACCCCUUGCCUCUGGAGGAUAAAGUUUCAUAUACAAACAGUACCUUAUAAAGGAGUAUUCUAUUGUGUCUCUCAUAUAUAGAACAUAUGUUCAUUUGUCAUUUACCACUUCCCCAGUGUCCAUUUUUAAUCUGUUUUAUACUUCUAGGAUAUCUGCUUUGACUGUGCCCCCGUCUUAUCUCAACGUAGUUGUGUACAAAUAGGGUGAUAUCUUUCCUGCAAUAGCUUUCUUAGCUUAACUUUCCCCCCCUCAGAACAUUUCCUAGCCCUGUGUGACAAUGCCUGUGUUAUGCCCAUGUGAUUAAGGAUUUUCUAUCCAGAUAGAUCCAGAAUUUUCUGGGCCAGUUGCCUCAAGCAAGAAUCAAAACUUUAACCUCCCAGUUCUGAUUCAGACCAGUGUCUCUCCUUUUUUAUAAACUUCAUGGCAGCCACUGAACUCUGCUUUGUCAUCCCGGCGAGACAAUUUUGUUAUGGUCUGAUCUCAAACAUGCACCCUGGAAUAUAGGCUCUUUGAUUUCAGUGCAAUAUACUGGAAUAUACUUUGAUUUCAGUUGACCCAUAUAUAAAAAUAUAAAUGAUUAGAUAGGGUUGAGAAGCAAGGGGAAGUUUUCUUCUUGACCAGGAUUAGCUCCAAGGUCCUUGAAUUGCCAGGCAAGAGAGCUGAAGUGCCCACACUCAUUCCCUCCCACAUGUACUGAGGGAUGAGUCCAAUAAGCAGGCAUGAACUUCCCAAAGAUCUCUCUUGAUCUCAGCAUCUCUUUUUGCUGCUUUCUAGUGCUGGAGAGAGCAAGGUUAGAACUGUGCCACCUGACAUCUGACCGGCAGACCUCUCCCUCUGCUAGAACACAUCGCUAUUGUGUUUUCCUCUCUGGAUGUGGUACAGGAUUUUCUCCUGGUGUUCUAGAGAGGUGAGGAUACAUAAGAAAUAAUGCCAGCCAACCAAGAAAGGUACUGGGGUAGUUAUCCCUUUUUCAAUCUCAGGGCCCUGGCAGCUGAUUGGGGUCAAGCAGGUGUGUGAUGUCUCUGAUUUCAUGCCCUCAGAUGACUUGAAAGUCUCUUGUGAAGUGCAGCUGCAGUCUGAGGAAGUCUAGGCAUGCACCUGGAGCCACAUAAAUAAUAGAGAAGCAGCUGUCGAAUUCAUGCAUGAUAUCCUGGUCUUGUUCCUCAAUUCACGCUGUUUCUAAAUGGAUUGAGAUGAACUAUAGCACCAUUGGCUUUUGGGCCAGGCAUACGUUAGAACUGUAAUGCUCAUCAUACUUGUAACUCUAGAAUGGUGCUCACCACCAGACUAGAGCAAAACCACCAGCAUCCAUCUAUCCUUAGCACAAAAAUCUGUAGAAUUUCCCCCCUUAUGCUGAUUGGGUGCAACUUUGCCGAAAACCCUUUAGCUGCACUGUCUAGAACAAAGCCACAGUGAGGUCUUCAGCACCUGUGAUGUCAUUCCUCAAAGAGAGGACGAUUUAGAAAACGGUACUGGAGAAGGUCUAGAAAGCCUCCACACCUCAGAAGCAGACAGAACAGGGUUUCCAAGGGCUUAUGGAGAAGAUUCCUUUUUCAGAGCAAUGGACCUGACCUCUUCCCAGCCUCAGGGGCAAAAAUGAUCUGCAGCAAAGAAGAGGAUCAAUGCAGCUGUAACUCACAACAGGAACACAAAAGGAGAACAGUUGCUGGGACUAGUAUUCCUGUUUGUUGGUUCCCACCUUAUUUCAAAUGCAACCUUUUCCAAGGGACUAUUUGGCUUCCUUAUGGUCCAGCUCAGUGGGAAGCCUUGAGAAACUAAAAAAAAACCACACCCACUUUAUUUGCCCAUUUGAAAAGAGGGAGAGAAACCCGUUAACAGGGUUUUCAGACUUGAGCCUCCAAAUGUUGGACUAGAAUUCCCAUAAUCCCUUUGGCCAUUGUGGCCAAGGGUGAUGGAAGUUGUAGUCCAAUAAUAUGUGGAGACCCAAGUUUGAGGACUCUGGUGGUAAAAGAUUCUCAGCAUGGUGGGAUGUCGCAUAUAUCAGCAAGUCCUGAGGCAAUGUAAAUGCUUAAUUUGUAGGGAAGAAAAAGUGGGAGGUAUGCUUUCACCCUUCCCAGGCCUGCCGAUUCACACCUUCAAAUGCCUCCCCUGAAGAAAAUGGAAGCACUUCCAAUUUUAGGUGGGCAGAACAAUUAAAAGUUGUUUUGGAGGGCAUUUGUAUGGGGAAAUGAUGGGUAAGGGGAGUGUUUGUUGUGACUGACUUGUUCUGCUGGUUUAAAUCGAACUCCAUCACAACUACAUUAAACAGGACUGGUGACUCUUUAAAGGGCUACAUGAGUGCUCAAGUAGAAAAGCUAAUAAGCACUCACCCUAAAAUAUAUAUUUAGAAAAUGGUCCCCAAACUAUAGGCAUUGGAAGGUGUGGGUUGUAUCAUCAGUGAUUUUAAAAGCACUAGCCAAUAAGGGCCACUGGAGUUCACACAAAUGUAUUUUAGCAGGUCCUUACAGAAGUCUUAUUAAAAUCUUCUGGGGAAAUGAUGUGCCAAUAAUAAUGGUGUGGGUGGGUGGGUGGAACUGUGUGGUAUGCACAGGAGGAGGAGAACAUUUCCAUAUCUCUGAAAACGACUCAUCUGUAUAAGUUCUAAGAGUAAAAAUAUACCUCUUCCCUGCCCUGUUUUGUCUUGUACCACUUUAGGAGCCUAGAUGUUCUCUAGUGCCUUUUCUAGAGAGAAUGUUGCUGUAUGUGGUUUGGAUGAAUAGUGGGUGUAUUCCUUCUUCAGGGGGAACCAAAAUAUCUUGACAUAUUUGGGAAUGCAUGGGAUGUUAAUAGGGUGGGUGUGCGUGGGAGAAGUACAUAAACUAACCUGUGUAUCUAUAUCCUGGAUGCUGUUUAACAGCUAAACACUAUUGUUCUGGAUCUGUUUAUUUUUCCAAUUUGUGUUUAUAUAUCUAUAUAUUUAAAUUAAAAGGGAAACUUCAAAAAACA